Long non-coding RNA from Diorhabda carinulata, 2822 nucleotides. RefSeq lists it as uncharacterized. The record is from RefSeq and is a predicted model, not a curated record. The transcript has 2 exons. NCBI's taxonomy places the organism in Eukaryota, Metazoa, Arthropoda, Insecta, Coleoptera, Chrysomelidae.
AGUCACUUCGACGGAAAGCGUCGCGCUUUUUGUGUUCGCACGUGUUACGAGAACGGUCGUUCAUACGUCUUGACAAGGCGACUGUAUCGUCAGAAUAUGGAUUAAAACUGGUUCCACGUUUGAACCACCAGCGUCUUCAAAGAACGUCUAGGACAGACAAUAUUGAUAAGGUGAAGGAGUCAGUACGAAGAUAUUCGCAUGUGUCUACAGGAAGCGAUCGGUAGCUUUAAUCUUGUCGCGACGAAGUUUAUAGCGAAUUUUGAAGUUGGGUCUUAAACUGCAUAUUUAUAAGCUACAGUUAUCAUAGGAAUUAAAAGAUACCGACUUUGGAGCAAGAUGAGGCUCAUUUUCAUUUAAAUGGGUUCGUAAACCGACAAAAUAGCAUUGUCCGAAAGUAACGGUAUGAGCAGCAAUCUACAGCAAAUGAAUUAUUGGCCCUUUCUUUUUUGAAGAUUCACAAGGACGAAACAUCACCGUUAACACCGACCACUAUGUUGCGAUGUUAGAGGGAUAUUUGACUCCAGAACUUGCGAGAACAAGAAUAGCGAAUAUGAGAACUUGGUUCCAACAAGAUGGAGCGACCUGUCACAUAUCAAAUGACUCUAUGGCGGCUAUGAGACAGACUAAUUAACAAAAGAGGUGAUAUCCCUUGGCCCCCACGUAGCCCUGACUUCACGCCUCUUGAUUUUUUUUGUGGGGACAGCUCAAACAUAUAGUCUAUAUGAACAAUCCGAGGGACAUCAGUCAGCUAAAGGAAAAUAUUCGCCAUGAAAUGGCUGCAAUCACCCCAGACAAGACAAGAGUUUUCACAAAUUUGCGUUCGCGUUUAGAGGAGUGCCGUCUUCGAGAGGGCCGUCAUUUAGAUGUUAUUUUAAAAAAAUAAACUUCAUAAGAUUCUCAUUUCGCAAAAAAUGUCGAAACCUCGAGGACAGGUUACACUAUUUGCAACAUUCCAAUUUGUGUUCCCCUCCAAGACAGUAUCCUACUGGUCACCUUGUAGAUGGAGUGCUAACUGAGAUUCAUUAGAACAUAUGACAUAAUUUGUUUUUCUAUUAGAAUUGUUUAUAUUUUUGAAGAAGGGAAGAAUGUAUGACAGCUUUAGAUUUUGCUUCUGUUGUUCCAGGUGUUCGUCCUCAUCAUCAAACAUAUCCUGCAGUAGAGGGCUAAAGAAAUGUCGAAUCUAUCGAAAAACCUCGAGGACAGGAUUUGCAACAUUUCAAUUUGAGUUCCCCGUCAAGACAAUAUCCUACUUGUCGCCAUGUAGAUGGAAUACAUACGAAGAUUUUUUUGUUUGUUUCUUUAUUAGAAUCAACAUUAAAAGUUAAUAAAAACCUCUAGGAGUAUUAAAAUGCAUAAAAUUUUAGGCCCUUGGUUUUGAACGGUGCAUUCCACCUAAUAUUAUUCUACACGAUUCUUAAUCAUUUUAUCGAGGCACUGAGUCAUUGAAGAGAUGAAUAUAUAACGACAGUAUUUUGGUAUCCCUAUAAUAUUCAUAAAAACUUUGCGCAGGAAAUUGAAUUUAGUAAAAUAUAAAAUUGAAGACAUGACGAGAAAGAGUUAAAAAUGACGAGAUAAGGAUUUCUAUCGUUUGUUAUCAUCAUAAAUCAAACUAUGUGUAACGAUAUAGAGACCAGAUUUUUCUUCUCCAAAAUGCUCCCACAUAUAUAACCAUAGUGAAAAUCAUAUAUUGUAAUUUUGGUAGGAUUCAAGAUAGGUUAAUCCAUUGAUAUCGACUUAUUAAUAUAAACGUAUAACUUUCUGAUUUCCACUACAUCCAGUUUUUUCUCAAAAAAGUUACAGCUCUCCAACUUCGAUUUUGAUAUCAUUGGUCGCAUUAAGCGAACGAAACUGCUGUGCAACUGUUGUACAGCCCUAGCGGAUUAGUUCGGUGACACAUACCCUACAAACUCAACACAUUCUGGAGCGGACGUCAUGUUUUGGAGCGCUUUUGGAGUACUAGGUAGCGGUAGCGGAACUGAAACGUGAGAAAAGUGAACAAAAACUGAGACAGAACCAGAUUUGAAAUUUGUUAAAUCAACUGUGUUCUGUGAUCAAAAAUGAUUGAAUUCGGUCACGACGAUGAGAAAAAUGAAUUGAAGCUCCAUGAUAUAUACUCCAUAAUUUGAUUUUAAAUUAUGUUCGUUUUUCUAUAUGCUAAUCGCUACAUCCGCUGAGUGCGACCUUUAUUUUAGUUCUAUUUAACACCCACAGAUCACCUAUAUAUAGAUGGAUCACGACAAUGUUAUUUGUUCUAACAAAAUUGACGUCGACUGGGGGUCUAAACCUGAACUAUUAAUAUGACAUCCUUCAUAAAUACUGGCAAAUUUAAAUUUUAUUAAUGGCGUGUAAUUUAAAUCAUUUGAUGGUAAUUCAUACUGCAAACUAAUCAACAUUCAAAUGUAUGUUUUUGUUUAUAAUAUUUCUCAAAAUGGCAUAUUUUCAAGAUAUAAUAUAACAAAAGAUAAAAUUUUGAGAACUAUUAUAAAAAAAAUAAAUUUACGAAUUUAUUAGCUGUAAUCUUAUUAGGAUAAAAAUAUUAAAGUUAUUGUAAGAGUACUUAUUUCCUUACCCAAGUUAAAUGAGGAUAGAUCGGGUUUUAGCAGUAAUAUGAUACACCUUUUAUUAUAUUAGGUAUAAUAAUAACCUGGACAAAACGUGUUAUUAUUUAUUCAUAAGAUAAAAAUAAAACUUGAAGAAAAUAUUAUUUUUUAAAUAAAAUAUUGCAUACCAAAAUAACUAAUUGUUACUAAAUGUCACAUAUUGAGUAUUUGGAGCUAAUUUUAGUAAAUUUUAUUACAUGAACUUAUAAUAAAUCCCUUGCA